Molecule: ribosomal RNA, 381 nt
Filed under: Dipteromimus tipuliformis
Lineage: Eukaryota; Metazoa; Arthropoda; Insecta; Ephemeroptera; Dipteromimidae
Description: partial 16S rRNA
Source: RNAcentral
GGUAACUUAGUCUUUUAUUCAUUAUUAAUGGAUCACUCAAUCUACACAUCAAUAUAAUUCAUUUAAGAAGAGUUAUUUAUAUCUCCCCAUCACCCCAAUCAAACAAUUUUGAUUUAAAUCUCACUUCACUCUAAACACAUUUAUUACCUUUAAAUUGUUAAGCUCUAUAGGGUCUUCUCGUCCUCCAAUUUCAUUUUAGCCUUUUAACUAAAAAGUUAAAUUUUAACUUAAUCCUUACGAGACAGUCAAUACCUCGUCCAACCAUUCAUACCGGCCUCUAAUUAAGAGACUAAUGAUUAUGCUACCUUUGCACGGUCAAAAUACCGCGGCCCUUCAAUUCUUCAGUGGGCAGGUUAGACCUCUUAUUUAUUCAAGAACGCG